UACAGAGGUCCCAAGCGUUGUUCGGAUUCAUUGGGCGUAAAGGGUGCGUAGGCGGACUUUUAAGUCGGAGGUGAAAGCCGGUAGCUUAACUACCGAAUUGCCUUUGAAACUGAAAGUCUUGAAUUUUGUUGAGGUAGGCGGAAUGUAUCAUGUAGCGGUGAAAUGCAUAGAUAUGAUACAGAACACCGAUUGCGAAGGCAGCUUACUAAGCAAACAUUGACGCUGAGGCACGAAAGCGUGGGGAUCAAACAGG
RNAcentral lists this ribosomal RNA (253 nucleotides) under uncultured bacterium. RNAcentral's name for it is "partial 16S ribosomal RNA". It matches the Rfam family "Bacterial small subunit ribosomal RNA", at positions 524 to 776 of the family's 1533-position model. The record is from RNAcentral.